This 312-nucleotide unclassified non-coding RNA is filed under the name plant metagenome. RNAcentral's name for it is "partial contains 5.8S ribosomal RNA, internal transcribed spacer 2, and large subunit ribosomal RNA". The stretch from base 1 to 104 matches the Rfam family "5.8S ribosomal RNA", at positions 50 to 154 of the family's 154-position model. The record is from RNAcentral.
GAAAUGCGAUACGUAAUGUGAAUUGCAAAUUCAGUGAAUCAUCGAGUCUUUGAACGCACAUUGCGCCCCCUGGUAUUCCGGGGGGCAUGCCUGUCCGAGCGUCAUUUCUGUCCUCAAGCACGGCUUGUGUGUUGGGCCCCGUCCUCCGAUCCCGGGGGACGGGCCCGAAAGGCAGCGGCGGCACCGCGUCCGGUCCUCGAGCGUAUGGGGCUUUGUCACCCGCUCUGUAGGCCCGGCCGGCGCUUGCCGAUCAACCCAAAUUUUUAUCCAGGUUGACCUCGGAUCAGGUAGGGAUACCCGCUGAACUUAAGC